CUGCGAGUUCGCGGGAGAGUAAGUUAUUGCCAGGGUUUUUAUUUUAUACUUUAAACCUUGAAUUUAUUUUUUAAAUGUUUAUAUUAUUUGAAUAAAACAUUCAAAUAAUAUAAAAAAUAAUAUAUAUAUUGACAUGGAUUAAACAAAGAUAUAUAUUAUUUUAUGUUGUAUAAACAAAUUGGCAAAAUAGAGAUGGAAGAUAAAAAUAUGGUCAAAGUAAUAAGAGUCUAUGGUGGAUGCCUAGGA
This 246-nucleotide unclassified non-coding RNA is filed under the name Borreliella afzelii. Its description in RNAcentral is "partial 5S-23S ribosomal RNA intergenic spacer". The record is from RNAcentral. Lineage: Bacteria; Pseudomonadati; Spirochaetota; Spirochaetia; Spirochaetales; Borreliaceae.